AAAGGAUAUCUUCACUGAACUUGAACAAGUUCGAUCACAAGAAUUCCUUCACUAAAUCCACUCGAAAACUCUAAUUUUUAUCGAUGAAAAAUUCUGUCGACGUAGAAAAGCUUCAAGCCAUGAAAAAUUACAAGAAAUCCCAGUUUCUUUACAACUUUAUUCUAUACUCCCUCACUACUGUAAUUUCUUGUUCAUUUAUAUGUUAUCCUUUCUGGUUCCCCUCCAUGAACAGCCUCUCUUCAGUUUCUCUUCAAAACACUUUCUCCUUUUUCUUCACUGCCGAGUUUCUUUUCGUGGUCGGAAAUAUCAUCUUCAUCAUCCUCAUCAAAGAAUCUAAACAGGCAGCAGGCUCCAAUUUAUCUCCGGCGACGGAGAUUUAUGAUAAAUACGUUGCACGAAGUCACCGGAGUUACAUGGCGCCGGCACACUCCAAUUAUAUUCUUGCAAACAAGGAAGUACACGAGGAUAAAAUGGAAAACACUGAAGGUAAAAUAAUACAUAUGCAUUCAGAAAAGAAAAAAGAUAUGAAAAUAAAUUGUGGGGCUGAAACUGAUAUUGUGGUCAAGAGGGAAAAAGGAGGGAAAGAAGAGGAGAAUUAUAUACCUACUGAGGAAUUGAAUCGAAGAGUGGAGGCUUAUAUUGCAAGAGUGAACAGACAGAGAUUGCUUGAAGCUAAAUCAUUAGUGUGAAGAAGAGCGUGAGAGGUGGGGAUUUAGUGUAGGGAUUAUAAUGGAAAGUGGAAUAAUUAAUUAUGUUUUCUCAAUUCUCAAUAUAAAUUGUACUUAAAAGAAACUUUUCAAGUUAUUUUUAUGAGAUUGAUGUACUAACCUAAUGAUAUAAUGUCAUAUUCUACUCUUGGAUGUUAAUAAUUGAAUUUUUAUGAAAUUUUGAAUUUAGCGUUUAAGGGUCGAAUCUUGGAAAACAAAGAAUGAAGAUCUCACAACUCAUGCUAAUCGAGAAUCGAACUUCAAAAUCAAAUCAUUAAUAGCGAUAACAAGAAUUAAGAUCUCACAGCUAGUGACAAUCAACAAAGAGGACUCAUAAAUAAAUAAGUAAAAAGUCAUAGCAAUCACGAGAUUCGAGAAUCUACAACUCAUGACCAUUGAUAAAAAAAUUCUCAGCAAUCUUAUAGGUAAGGACAAUUUAUUCAAGUAUAGAAGAAAGAUUUAACACUUCUACAACGAUUUUAAAUUCAACCCUUUUGUGUACAAAUAUUGAAUGCUCACAAUGUAACACUUGUUUGAGAAUGAAAAAGUGAAUAAAAUUUUAUUUCAUUCAUAUAUGGCUUUCUCAUUUUUUUCUCUUAUACUAGCACGAGGGAUUUAAUACAUUAGACGUAAUUUUCAUUCAACCAUCAUAAUAGAUAGGGCUUAUUGAAAUUUUAGGAUUCGGUUGCUUAGAUCUUCCCGUAAAUUUCGUAUUCAUAAUUUCAUAAAGUAAAUUAUAUAACAAUUAUACAAUAAAUUAGUAUUUGAUUAAUAUAAAAUAAAAAAAAAAAAAAAAAAGACAGAAACUGGGGGGUCAAUUGACCCUGUAGGACUCCCCCUGUCCGCCUCUGUAUACAUCUAGUCUAGAUAACAUGUGACGUGUUGCAAGUUAUUUUUAUUAAAUUUAAAUUUCGCAUAGCACACCUAUUCAUUUCCCUUCAGGUGUUAAGUGGAUCAAAACAUCACGUUGUUUCACCUUGGACGGCAACUAGGGGAGAGUUGGAAAUCUUUUUGUUGAUUCGAGCGAUUGGCAGAUAGAAUGGGAGAAAUAUGGAGAAGACAUAAUGGGUGGACACAGAACUAUGGAGAAGACAUAAUGGGUGGACACAGAACUGGAAAGACCAAUAAAAAAAAAAAAGGUGGUUUGAUAUUGCAUUAGAUAGAUUCUCCUUAGAGAAUAGUGCUCUAACUUCAAGAAAAUAGAAUAAACACAAUGUUUAGAAGAGAAUUGAUAAUCCUUGUAUUCAUCAUUUGAUGCCCCAAUUAUAGUGUCUACACGAGUUUUAUACAGAGUGAAAUAUAAUUAGAGGAAACCAAAUUGACAAAUAAGAAUUAAUUACAUAUUUGAAUUUUGGUUUUGUUUUAAAUCCAUCACUAAACUUUCGAUUUUGUUCCAAAUUAAUCACCACGUUGAUGCUACAAUCAAUUUGAAUAAUGUAAAUAGUGUAAUUUUUUCCAUUUUAAUUAUUGAUUGGGUAAGUCACAUGGACAAAUUACAUUCUUUUUUUCAUAAUCGAAUUUCUUAAUCACUUAAUGAGAUUUCUCCAACUAAGAACGUUAAACCAAUGGGCAGAUAAAACUUUCAAGCUACAAAACCAUAUUUCAAUACCAUCUAAGAAUACAUUAAUCACUAGAUUGGAUGGAAAAUUGCUAGUGGUAGUUUACCCUAAACAAAACUUUUCUUCGAUAAAAAUUCAAGGAUUAUGCUACUUUUACAGAAAAAUGGUACAUAAAGGAAGAAUAAAAUGAUGUGAAGGAAAAAGAUUGGCUAAAAAAGUUGAUUGUAUAUUAAACUGACAAAUGAUAGAGUAAUAUGUAAUAUUAUGUAACUCAUUAUGUAAAACAUGAUGUAUAUGUAGCGAGGUCCAAAAUUCAAAACCAUCUGCUGAAUGGCUGAAAGGUGUAAAACCACCUCUUUAGCCUGCCACUACUUUCUCAAAAGGCAUAAGCACGAGCUUCAUAUCGAACCUUUUUUAUUUGCAAAAGAAGCAUGUGAAAAAUCCACUAAAAUAUCCUCCUUUCUUCGUCACUCCACUAUUUAAAGAGAUCAUACGUUCUUCCUCUGUGUUCUGUCCGAUAUGUGAAAGGAUAUCUUCACUGAACUUGAACAAGUUCGAUCACAAGAAUUCCUUCACUAAAUCCACUCGAAAACUCUAAUUUUUAUCGAUGAAAAAUUCUGUCGACGUAGAAAAGCUUCAAGCCAUGAAAAAUUACAAGAAAUCCCAGUUUCUUUACAACUUUAUUCUAUACUCCCUCACUACUGUAAUUUCUUGUUCAUUUAUAUGUUAUCCUUUCUGGUUCCCCUCCAUGAACAGCCUCUCUUCAGUUUCUCUUCAAAACACUUUCUCCUUUUUCUUCACUGCCGAGUUUCUUUUCGUGGUCGGAAAUAUCAUCUUCAUCAUCCUCAUCAAAGAAUCUAAACAGGCAGCAGGCUCCAAUUUAUCUCCGGCGACGGAGAUUUAUGAUAAAUACGUUGCACGAAGUCACCGGAGUUACAUGGCGCCGGCACACUCCAAUUAUAUUCUUGCAAACAAGGAAGUACACGAGGAUAAAAUGGAAAACACUGAAGGUAAAAUAAUACAUAUGCAUUCAGAAAAGAAAAAAGAUAUGAAAAUAAAUUGUGGGGCUGAAACUGAUAUUGUGGUCAAGAGGGAAAAAGGAGGGAAAGAAGAGGAGAAUUAUAUACCUACUGAGGAAUUGAAUCGAAGAGUGGAGGCUUAUAUUGCAAGAGUGAACAGACAGAGAUUGCUUGAAGCUAAAUCAUUAGUGUGAAGAAGAGCGUGAGAGGUGGGGAUUUAGUGUAGGGAUUAUAAUGGGAAGUGGAAUAAUUAAUUAUGUUUUCUCAAUAUAAGUUGUACUUAAAGAAACUUUUCAAGUUAUUUUUAUGAGAUUGAUGUACUAACCUAAUGAUAUAAUGUCAUAUUCUACUCUUGGAUGUUAAUAAUUGAAUUUUUAUGAAAUUUUGAAUUUAGCG
RNAcentral lists this long non-coding RNA (3681 nucleotides) under Olea europaea (common olive). RNAcentral's name for it is "long non-coding RNA (OEUR_LNC004930)". Lineage: Eukaryota; Viridiplantae; Streptophyta; Magnoliopsida; Lamiales; Oleaceae. The record is from RNAcentral.